UCCAAUAAAUUCCACGUGUGAUCAAUAUCCUUCUUCAUAAAAGAACGGCACAAGAAGUGUCAAGCAUGGUACGAUCUUCAUGAGAAAGUCGAGCAUAAAAGUUUUGAGUGAUGAUUUCUCUCGAGAGCUCAUGAUUGGGGCAUGAAUAUAGCAUUGAUUUAAUCCUCCCCCAAGCUUGAGCUAUGCUUUCCCUGUCACGAGGCCAAAAGUUAUAAAUAAAGUUUCGAUCACGAUGUACUAAAUGCAUGGGAUAGAACUUUUGAUGAAAUUCCAAUUUCAACCGAUUCUAGCUCCAUGAUCGAGUAUCAUCACAUAGACAAUACCAUGUCAACGCCUUAUCCUUCAAAGAUAAAGGAAAUACUUUCUUCUUUACCUCAUCCUCGGGAAAACCUGCAAGCUUAAAUAAACCACAAACUUCAUCUACAUAGAUUAGAUGAAAGUCUUGAUGUAAAGAUCCAUCUCUUGUAAAAAGAUUAGCCAGCAGUUUCUCAAGCAUACCCAAAGGAAUUUCAUAAAACAUAUUGUCAGUAGGUACCUCAGGUUGAGGAGCAACUCCUCGUGCUUCCGUUCGUGGUGAAGAUACCUCGAACAAACUCCUCAAAGAAAGAGUUUCCAUAGUGACAAGUGAAAAUAAAUUUCAGCACAGUACAAAAGUGUUUCCUUACCAAUUUCCACAUACCAAAGGCGCUUCACUCCCCGGCAUCGGUGCCAGAAAAGAGUCUUGAUGACCCACAAGUAUAGGGGAUCAAUCGUAGUCCUUUUGAUUAGUAAGAGUGUCGAACCCAACGAGGAGCAGAAGGCUCUGAUAAACGGAUUUCAGCAAGCUAAUAACUGCAAGCACUGAAAGUAGAGGUAACAAGUGAUUGUGUAGCGAUGUGAAACGUAGCAAGCAAAGAGUAACAAGUAACAAGUAGUAGCAAUGGUGCAGCAAGUGGCCCAAUCCCUUUUGUAGCAAGGUACGAGCCUGGACAAAGUCUUAUCGGAGGAAAAACGCUCCCAAGGACACACGGGAAUUUAUGUCAUGCUAGUUUCAUCAUGUUCAUAUGAUUCGCGUUCGUUACUUUGAUAGUUUGAUAUGUGGGUGGACCGACGCUUGGGUACUGCCCUUACUUGGACAAGCAUCCCACUUAUGAUUAACCUCUCUCGCAAGCAUCCGCAACUACAAAAGAAGAAUUAAGACAAAGUCUGACCAUAGCAUUAAACUAGUGGAUCCAAAUCGGCCCCUCACGAAGCAGCGCAUAAACUAGGAUUUAAGCUUCUGUCACUCCAGCAACCCAUCAUCUACUUACUACUUCCCAAUGCCUUCCUCUAGGACCAAAUAUGGUGAAGUGUUAUGUAGUCGACGUUCACAUAACACCACUAGAGGGAAAACAACAUAUAGCAUAUCAAAAUACCGAACGAAUAUCAAAUUCACAUGACUAUUAUUAACAUGACUUACCCCAUCUCCUUAGGAACAAAAGUAACUACUUACAAGACAUAAUCAUAAUCAUGACCAGAGGUGUAAUGAAUAGCAUCAAGGAUCUGAACAUAAACUCUUCCACCA
This 1543-nucleotide long non-coding RNA is filed under the name Hordeum vulgare. RNAcentral's name for it is "long non-coding RNA (HVUL_LNC014991)". The record is from RNAcentral. Lineage: Eukaryota; Viridiplantae; Streptophyta; Magnoliopsida; Poales; Poaceae.